This 66-nucleotide transfer RNA is filed under the name Vitta usnea. RNAcentral's name for it is "Neritina usnea tRNA-Asp". Lineage: Eukaryota; Metazoa; Mollusca; Gastropoda; Cycloneritida; Neritidae. The record is from RNAcentral.
GAAAGGUUAGUUAAACUAUAAUACAAGGUUGUCAAUCUUGAGUUACUAAGGAUUUAGUACUUUUCU